This is a long non-coding RNA of Saccostrea cuccullata (small rock oyster), 615 nucleotides long. RefSeq lists it as uncharacterized. The record is from RefSeq and is a predicted model, not a curated record. The transcript has 2 exons. NCBI's taxonomy places the organism in Eukaryota, Metazoa, Mollusca, Bivalvia, Ostreida, Ostreidae.
CUACAUCUGAAUCCAUCCGUCCAUAUUAACACUGCAAUAUUAAGUGAAUAUUGGACCCAUAAUUAUGUGUGUGUUAUAUUCUUCACAUAAGACCACUACUACAUUUGGAGCUCUAAUUGGUUGCUGAUGAUGGAUGGUGCAUUAACACUUCAGGAUAAAGCAGUUAGCUGAUGAAUGAUUGUCAACCUCUACCUUCCUCCUUGUGAGAGCUACAAUAUGUUUUAACUGUCAACAGUGAGAGUUUUGUGCUGGCUGACUUUAGCCUAAGUACAAUAGUGAUCAACACUGUGAACUGUGAUUUUAUAUUGUGACUUCUGUGUGCAUUGACUGGCUAUUCAAUUGGAAUUAUUCCACCAGCAAUUGGUAUCUUAAAAAAUAUAUAAAAAAUGGAUUAUCAGGGACUCGAAUCAGGGACGUCUUACAUGAUAAGAGAGGGACACACCGGUACACCACGGAUCCACUUCCUUCUAUUGGAAAUAAUAUGCAAACAACAGGUCACAUAUGUUUAUAUUCACGUUUGAUAUUGUCAAAGUUUUACAAAAUGCAUGGUGUCUAAUUCAGCAUUUUAUUAAACCAUUCUAAUAGAUGAAAUAAGAAUAAAAAGUCCACCGACAA